AGCUUUCUCUGCCCCGCUUCUCUACAGACCCACCACUCGUCCUCUCCAACUUUCGUCUUCCUCGAGCUGAGACGCCGAGGUACCGCCACCGCUCCGCAGCACAAUAUCCUGCCCGCCGCCGCGUCGCACCGCCGUCUCCUGCCCGCCGCCAUUUCGUGCACCAUGGAAGGAUUGGGUUGAGGCAGCUCCGUCCAGCCGAUCUGGAUUGCCGCUGACUGCUUCAUUCGCCCGUCGUUCCUCAGAUUGGUUCCAGCCGUGUAUUUCUCUGUCCGACCGACGUGUGUGCCUUCCACGCUCUCGCUCUUUCUGCCGAGAUGGGUUUCGAUUCACUGUGUGAUCUUUCUCCAGCUAGUAAGCACUGGUCCAUCAACAUGCGAGUUGCUCGCAUGUGGGACUACUGUGGACCCGUGAUGGUCAGCCGCUGAUUCACGUUGAUCUUGUGCUGGUAGACGAUAAGGGUACCGCUAUGUAUGCAUAAAUACCUGGUACUAAGGCCAAGAAGUUCAAAGAGCCUAUUCAAGAGAAUGGAGUGUACUCUUUGAAAAAGUUCUUUGUGGCUCCAAGCAAAUCCUCAUACAAGUUGUUUCCUGCCAAGUAUAUGAUCAAGUUCAUACCUUGGACAACUGUCACCUACUGAAGCUGUGCCUAAGUCAUUCCCUACGCAUGUUUACAAUCUGGUUCCAUUUUGUGACCUUCCCUCUCGUGUUGGAGCCCAGGACUAUUUCACUGAUGUCUUGGGACAGAUUGUGGGUGUUUCUAGGCUGGGACAUGUUUGUAUGUCAACUAACUCUUCUGACACUGCUAAGAGGGUUAUUGCUCUGAGAGAUGAUAGGAACACAUAGGUCAAGCUUGUGCUUUGGGGGCACAGGGCUGUUGAAUUUGACGCAGAGCUUCUGUUUGACAAUGGCCAGAACACGGCAGUUGUUGGAGUAUUUGUUGGCCUUCUUAUGAAAUCUUACAAUAAUGAUGAGACGCUGAGUGGAGGAUCUGCAUGUAGAUGGUACCUGAACGAAGAUAUUCCAGAGAUUGAGUCUUGCUUCGACAGGUCGGUUGAUGGCUGGGUGAUGACUUCGCUAAGGUUCAGUGGAUCUCUACCGGCACCGAAAAAUUUGCGGUGUCACGUAAUAGAGCUGAUCUACCCCACAAGACAGUUGCUGAGCUCAGAGAACUGGAUCCAUGGGAAACAGAGGUAUAUCCACCCUUCCACUGAUGUGAUCAUAUCUGCUACAGACUUCCUCUGCACUGUGUCAAUUACAAGUGUGGCGCCUGAACAGCCGUGGUGGUUCCAGUCAUGCUCCAAGUGCCACAGAUUGGCUACGUCUUAUGGAUCGGAGUACAGAUGCAGUGGAGGCUGUGUUUCAACAAAAGCUUAUCCCAAGUACCGACUCUGCCUUGUUGGGACCGAUAGCACUGGUAGUGCUGAGUUCGUCUUCUUUAACCGUGUUGCUCAGCAGCUGGUUGGUAAAACUGUGAUAUCGCUUUUAAGAUCGUCAGGGCUGCCGCGUGAGAUUGCUGCUGUUGUUUGUCAGAAAUACACUCUUGCUGUAUCGGUGACCCAGAAAAGCCUAUCACAGAGGAACAUAUCGUUCCAGGUCAAUGCAAUCGAAACCUUCUUUGGAAGGCAUAACUCUGUGCCACAUGACACUUGUGUUUCUACUAUACUACCCCUGACUAUGACAGCAGCCUCUUCGCUUGAUGACAGCGGAACCUCUUCGCUUGAUCAGGUUCUUGAUGGCCUCGCUAUGCCUGUUGAAGAUAUCCCAAAGAGGGCGGGUCCGAUUCGCAUGCCGCUUCGCAGCUUAAAGAGAAAGGAGCCUGAGGGAGCAAAAACCUCCAAGAAUCUUACUGAGGAUGCUGUACUUACCGGUCAGAACAUUGAUCCUGAUAGCAUCCCUAGGAAUGCCUCUGCCACGCCUCCUGUCAAGCUUGCAAGUGAAGUUAUUGCUGCUGGGAACGAGGUUCAUCUGCAUGGCAAGUGGCGGACGACCCCUUUGGGCAGGAAAGAGAAGGGAAAAGAUGUGCGUUGGGCGCUGGCUACUAGGCUUCUCCACUGGGACAACUGGGUUGGGCCGGUCUACAGCUUCCUGCAGUGCGGCUCAACCGACCGAGAAGCCACGGCCCCAUGAAAGAAACCCAUGACUGCCCAGCCAUGAUAAUCAAAACAAGACGGCGCGGCGGCGCAGGAACCCUGGCGGCUAGCGGAGCGCAGGAGCACUGCGCCGGCAGGUAGAUCGGCACUAGCAGCAAGGGGCGCGGCGACUCCGACAAAGGGCGGUGGCGGCCGGGGAGAAAUCUUCACCGGUGUCCAGGUCCCAGCUCGCCCAGGCUUUCCCUUAUAGGGUUAUACCUCAUUCUCGUUUUCUACAUAGGAUUGAAUACUCAUCCUUGUUGAAAAUUUUGCAUCAUUUUUUCUUAUGCUUUAGAUAUAUUUUUUUAUUUUGCAAAAUUCUUAAUACUCUAGAUUUCGCCCGACCUUAAAUUUUUUUCGUCCUCCGUCACUGUAUAUGCCUACAUUUCUUCUGCCUACAGUACAUAGUUGAUUCUAUCUUCAGGAGGUUUGUGAUGUUAAUGUUGUUACUACCUUUCCAUUUUUUGCACAACCUUGCCCUUUUUUACACACAUGUGCUGCUUUCCUCUGCCGCCUCGCUCUUGAUGAGGUUAUUAGGUUCUUUGCGUACUGAUGUGAACUUCAGUUAUGGAGUGAUAGGAUUGUCUGCUUUGCUUCGUGGAAUUGUAGCGCAUCUGAUCAUGAACAGUUUGGUGUUUAUAGAUACUGCUGUGAUACAUGAUGUGGGACAUUUUUUCGUUAUGUUCCGGCAAUGAAACGAGAUCCCGCUAAUAAAUGUAUCUCCGUUAUGCUCAGCUACAGCGACUAGAUUUGUCGAAACUUUAUGGCCUAACAUGCUUCAUGUCUUUCCAGAGUCCUGAGGUAGAAGUUGAAGAUGAAGCUGACAGUGGUGCUAAGAAGAGAUAGUUCCUCCUUUUAGUAUUAUCUUUCUUUGCAUUAGAUGUCUGUGCGUUCCUAUCUUAACUGACCGUGUGCUCGUCAAUGUUUCACAGGAAAGUGCCACCUGAAGCCACUGAUCCCACCUCUACGGUCACUCGUCUACUCAAGAAGACUGGUUUGAAGAAGGGAAAGUAGUGCAUGCUCUCAGUCCUUGCCAAGGUUUGAUGUUGAUGUCGCUGCCCACUCACCCUGCCGUCACUAAUGUCCUUUUGUAAAUUAUGCCCCUCUAUGGACCUGCUGGUGAUAUGUAAUAUAUGCUCAGGACACCGCUUUUAGUAUUGUAUUAGUUUGCUGAACCUCCUAUGCUAUUAAACUAGGGAAGACCAACGGAGCUUUAUGGUACUGUAUGUAUGUAUGUGGGUUAGUGCCCAGAAAUGAUACCUCUACUAUAUUGUGUUUAGUUUAAGCUCUAUACUACACUGUACCCGUUUAUUGUAUAUAUGUGUGUUAAUCC
This is a non-coding RNA of Lolium perenne, 3461 nucleotides long. The record is from RefSeq and is a predicted model, not a curated record. Lineage: Eukaryota; Viridiplantae; Streptophyta; Magnoliopsida; Poales; Poaceae.